UGGGGAAUUUUGGACAAUGGGCGAAAGCCUGAUCCAGCAAUGCCGCGUGUGUGAAGAAGGCCUUCGGGUUGUAAAGCACUUUUGUCCGGAAAGAAAUCCUUGGCUCUAAUACAGUCGGGGGAUGACGGUACCGGAAGAAUAAGCACCGGCUAACUACGUGCCAGCAGCCGCGGUAAUACGUAGGGUGCAAGCGUUAAUCGGAAUUACUGGGCGUAAAGCGUGCGCAGGCGGUUUGCUAAGACCGAUGUGAAAUCCCCGGGCUCAACCUGGGAACUGCAUUGGUGACUGGCAGGCUAGAGUAUGGCAGAGGGGGGUAGAAUUCCACGUGUAGCAGUGAAAUGCGUAGAGAUGUGGAGGAAUACCGAUGGCGAAGGCAGCCCCCUGGGCCAAUACUGACGCUCAUGCACGAAAGCGUGGGGAGCAAACAGGAUUAGAUACCCUGGUAGUCCACGCCCUAAAACGAUGUCAACUAGUUGUUGGGGAUUCAUUUCCUUAGUAACGUAGCUAACGCGUGAAGUUGACCGCCUGGGGAGUGCGGUCGCAAGAUUAAAACUUAAAUGAAUUGACGGGGUCAUAGCUGUUUCC
Molecule: ribosomal RNA, 585 nt
Filed under: uncultured bacterium
Lineage: Bacteria
Description: partial 16S ribosomal RNA
Rfam family: Bacterial small subunit ribosomal RNA
Source: RNAcentral